AUCCCUCACUGAACACAAUGGCCUUUCCCACUGCAGAGGGGACAACCAACAUGUCACCCUCCAUCACUCCCUGCCUGAACAUUCUCUGGAAGAAAGCUCUGCAACUUGGUCUUUGAACUGCAAAGCCCACUAGACUCCUCAAGGGAGAGAUAGAAAACCCUCAUAGAGUUUUUUUGGAGGAAAAAAAUUGUGAAUGUUAGGCAAGGUACCUGCAAGAGCACCAAGUCAGAAGAUAAGCUGCUGGUUGUGUGAAAUUGUGCCAGCAUGGCCACUCAAAUUUAAAAGAGGGAGGAUUAGAAAACACAUCCCUGGCUUUGGAUGCAGGUGGCCUCUUACCACGUCAGAAGCAAUGCACCUGAGCACACCUCCCCUGGGUUUUGAGAAGAGCUGGAUGCUAAGUCCAGGCUGACACCCACACCAGGGGCUUGUGGCUGGCCACCAGCAAGUGGGGAAAUGUCUGCCAGCCCAGCUGGGCCUGCUGCGGUGAUCCAUCCUCAGCUGGUGCAGACGCCUGCGAGGGAAGGUGUUGCCAGGUGGAAUGGGGCCAUCCAGCAACAGGGCAGGGGGCAGGCAAGGGUGAGGAGGGCCCAUGCCCCCUCAAGGCCAGAGGACAGGGCCUGUCUGCAUGGCUGUCCCUUCUUGCCUCCAGCUGUGUUCAGUCACAAGCACAGACUGUCCCCAUGAACCAUCAGGAGAGUUCCCUGAGAGUGGGUGUGCAGGGCAUCCCGCCCUGCACAUAGGCUGGCAGUACCAACAGCUGAAUAAAUCUAUGUAAUCAUU
Molecule: long non-coding RNA, 780 nt
Organism: Passer domesticus (house sparrow)
Lineage: Eukaryota; Metazoa; Chordata; Aves; Passeriformes; Passeridae
Exons: 2
Source: RefSeq, a predicted model, not a curated record